RNAcentral lists this ribosomal RNA (581 nucleotides) under uncultured bacterium. RNAcentral's name for it is "bacterial SSU rRNA". It matches the Rfam family "Bacterial small subunit ribosomal RNA", at positions 8 to 587 of the family's 1533-position model. The record is from RNAcentral.
AGGGUUUGAUCCUGGCUCAGAUUGAACGCUGGCGGCAGGCCUAACACAUGCAAGUCGAACGCGAAAGCACUUCGGUGUGAGUAGAGUGGCGGACGGGUGAGUAACGCGUGGGAAUCUACCUAGUAGUGGAGGAUAACUCGGGGAAACUCGAGCUAAUACUGCAUACGCCCUACGGGGGAAAGCGGGGGAUCUUCGGACCUCGUGCUAUUGGAUGAGCCCGCGUUAGAUUAGCUUGUUGGUGAGGUAAUGGCUCACCAAGGCGACGAUCUAUAGCUGGUCUGAGAGGAUGAUCAGCCACAUUGGGACUGAGACACGGCCCAAACUCCUACGGGAGGCAGCAGUGGGGAAUAUUGCGCAAUGGGCGAAAGCCUGACGCAGCCAUGCCGCGUGUGUGAAGAAGGCCUUCGGGUUGUAAAGCACUUUCAAUAGGGAGGAAAGGUUGUAGUUUAAUACGCUGCAACUGUGACGUUACCUAUAGAAGAAGGACCGGCUAACUCCGUGCCAGCAGCCGCGGUAAUACGGAGGGUCCGAGCGUUAAUCGGAAUUACUGGGCGUAAAGCGCGCGUAGGCGGCUUUGUUAG